CGUAUAUUAAAGUUGUUGCAGUUAAAAAGCUCGUAGUUGGAUUUGUGGUGACGCUUGAGGUCCAAUUUUGGUACUAUUGAGUGUGACCAUCCUUGGGUGGAAGCUGUGUGGCAUUAAGUUGUCGUGCAGGGGAUGCCCAUCGUUUACUGUGAAAAAAUCAGCGCGUUCAAAGCAGGCUUAUGCCGGUGAAUGUAUUAGCAUGGAAUAAUAAGAUAGGACCUUGGUACUAUUUUGUUGGUUUGCGCACCGAGGUAAUGAUUAAUAGGGACAGUUGGGGG
This 278-nucleotide ribosomal RNA is filed under the name uncultured Bacillariophyceae. RNAcentral's name for it is "partial 18S ribosomal RNA". It matches the Rfam family "Eukaryotic small subunit ribosomal RNA", at positions 598 to 888 of the family's 1831-position model. The record is from RNAcentral. Lineage: Eukaryota; Bacillariophyta; Bacillariophyceae.